AGCAGCCGCGGUAAUUCCAGCUCCAAUAGCGUAUAUUAAAGUUGCUGCAGUUAAAAGCUCGUAGUUGAAUUUCGGGAUCAGUUGGUCGGUCGUGCCUCGGUACGUACUGGUCAAAUUGAUUCCUACCUUCUGACGAACCACGAUGUCAUUAAUUUGGUGUCGCGGGAAAUCAGGACUGUUACUUUGAAAAAAUUAGAGUGUUUAAAGCAGGCUCGCGCUUGAAUACAUUAGCAUGG
This 236-nucleotide ribosomal RNA is filed under the name uncultured Glomus. Its description in RNAcentral is "partial 18S ribosomal RNA". It matches the Rfam family "Eukaryotic small subunit ribosomal RNA", at positions 569 to 812 of the family's 1831-position model. Lineage: Eukaryota; Fungi; Glomeromycota; Glomeromycetes; Glomerales; Glomeraceae. The record is from RNAcentral.